RNAcentral lists this transfer RNA (63 nucleotides) under Actinomycetota bacterium. RNAcentral describes it as "Actinobacteria bacterium (freshwater metagenome) tRNA-Ile". It matches the Rfam family "tRNA", at positions 6 to 65 of the family's 71-position model. From Rfam's summary of the family: Transfer RNA (tRNA) molecules are approximately 80 nucleotides in length. Their secondary structure includes four short double-helical elements and three loops (D, anti-codon, and T loops). Further hydrogen bonds mediate the characteristic L-shaped molecular structure. tRNAs have two regions of fundamental functional importance: the anti-codon, which is responsible for specific mRNA codon recognition, and the 3' end, to which the tRNAs corresponding amino acid is attached (by aminoacyl-tRNA synthetases). tRNAs cope with the degeneracy of the genetic code in two manners: having more than one tRNA (with a specific anti-codon) for a particular amino acid; and 'wobble' base-pairing, i.e. permitting non-standard base-pairing at the 3rd anti-codon position. Lineage: Bacteria; Bacillati; Actinomycetota. The record is from RNAcentral.
UAUAGCUCAGUCGGUUAGAGCGCAUCCCUGAUAAGGAUGAGGUCGCUGGUUCGAUUCCAGCUA